This 28-nucleotide non-coding RNA is filed under the name Mus musculus (house mouse). The record is from RNAcentral. Lineage: Eukaryota; Metazoa; Chordata; Mammalia; Rodentia; Muridae.
UGGGAACAAGGCAGAUGCCCACAGUGCC